RNAcentral lists this ribosomal RNA (292 nucleotides) under uncultured bacterium. RNAcentral's name for it is "partial 16S ribosomal RNA". It matches the Rfam family "Bacterial small subunit ribosomal RNA", at positions 505 to 796 of the family's 1533-position model. The record is from RNAcentral.
GUGUCAGCCGCCGCGGUAAGACGAACCGAGCGAACGUUGUUCGGAAUCACUGGGCUUAAAGGGCGCGUAGGCGGGCUGCCAAGUCCGGGGUGAAAUCCUCCCGCUUAACGGGAGAAGGGCCUGGGAUACUGGCGGUCUGGAGGGAGAUAGGGGCACGCGGAACUAUGGGUGGAGCGGUGAAAUGCGUUGAUAUCCAUAGGAACUCCGGUGGCGAAGGCGGCGUGCUGGAUCUCAUCUGACGCUGAGGCGCGAAAGCCAGGGGAGCGAACGGGAUUAGAAACCCGCGUAGUCC